RNAcentral lists this ribosomal RNA (261 nucleotides) under uncultured archaeon. RNAcentral's name for it is "partial 16S ribosomal RNA". It matches the Rfam family "Archaeal small subunit ribosomal RNA", at positions 748 to 1009 of the family's 1478-position model. The record is from RNAcentral.
UAGCCGUAAACAAUACUCGCUAGGUGUCGGCCACGGUGCGACCGUUGUCGGUGCCGUAGGGAAGCCGUGAAGCGAGCCACCUGGGAAGUACGGCCGCAAGGCUGAAACUUAAAGGAAUUGGCGGGGGAGCACAACAACGGGUGGAGCUUGCGGUUUAAUUGGAUUCAACGCCGGAAAUCUUACCGGGACCGACAGCAACAUGAAGGCCAAGCUGAAGACUUUGCCGGAUUAGCUGAGAGGAGGUGCAUGGCGUAGACGUCU